GGGGGUGUGGUUCAGUGGUAGAACACUUCCCCAGCAAUGAGCAAGGCCUUGGGUUAGAUCCCCAGCAUCACCA
Molecule: non-coding RNA, 73 nt
Organism: Ictidomys tridecemlineatus (thirteen-lined ground squirrel)
Lineage: Eukaryota; Metazoa; Chordata; Mammalia; Rodentia; Sciuridae
Source: Rfam